This 541-nucleotide long non-coding RNA is filed under the name Mus caroli (Ryukyu mouse). RNAcentral describes it as "lncRNA (MGP_CAROLIEiJ_G0034493.1)". Lineage: Eukaryota; Metazoa; Chordata; Mammalia; Rodentia; Muridae. The record is from RNAcentral.
AAAGUCUGCACUGAGCAUUUUUAUUUCUUUGUUUUGUUUUGUUUUGUUUUGUUUUACAAUUUCCUACCAACCAACCAACAAAACAAAAAACAAAACAAGACACCUGUUAAGAGCUAUGAGCUGUGACUGUGGGUAGAGGUCUAUGGCAGAACUGGUGGUUAGUGUGUGCAAUGGGGCCCUGGGUGCCAACCUCAGCAAACGAAACCAAAUCAACAAAGUAGUAUCAGUGACAAACAGGCCCAGGUGACAGACGUAUGUUGACACAGGCAUGAAUACAAGGUGGAGACCCCCCAGCCUCUCAGUUCCACUCCAAGCAUAGCCACUGUGCAAGCACAGCAACAGGCACAGUUCUUGCUGGCUCUGCAGGAGGGAGGCGAGGUUUGCAGGAUGAGGAAACUCUGUCUGCUAAGGUCUGCUUCAUUUGUCACGCAAGCCACACAAGCACAUUUCGGCUUUCUUUGCUGAACUUCUAAGUCCAGAUUUUCAUACUAAGUCACUUUCAUUGAAAAAAAGAAAAAAAACAAAAAAACAAAAAAAAAAC